RNAcentral lists this ribosomal RNA (413 nucleotides) under uncultured microorganism. RNAcentral's name for it is "bacterial SSU rRNA". It matches the Rfam family "Archaeal small subunit ribosomal RNA", at positions 330 to 744 of the family's 1478-position model. The record is from RNAcentral.
GCGCAGCAGGCGCGAAAACUUCACACUGUGCGAAAGCACGAUGAGGGAAUCCCAAGUGCUUGCACGUAAGUGUAAGCUGUUUCUCUGUCUAAAACGCAGAGAGAGUAAGGGCUGGGUAAGACGGGUGCCAGCCGCCGCGGUAAUACCUGCAGCUCAAGUGGUGACCGUUAUUAUUGGGCCUAAAACGUCCGUAGCCGGUUUAAUAAAUGCCUGGGUAAAUUGUGUAGCUUAACUAUACGAAUUCCGGGUAGACUGUUAAACUUGAGACCGGGAGAAGUUAGAGGUACUCCUGGGGUAGAGGUGAAAAUUCUGUAAUCCUAGGGGACCACCAGUGGCGAAGGCGUCUAACUAGAACGGGUCUGACGGUGAGGGACGAAGCCCUGGGGCGCAAACGGGAUUAGAUACCCCUGUAG